This 400-nucleotide unclassified non-coding RNA is filed under the name soil metagenome. RNAcentral's name for it is "partial contains 5.8S ribosomal RNA, internal transcribed spacer 2, and large subunit ribosomal RNA". The stretch from base 1 to 122 matches the Rfam family "5.8S ribosomal RNA", at positions 35 to 154 of the family's 154-position model. The record is from RNAcentral.
GAUGAAGAACGCAGAGAAAUGCGAUACUUGGUGUGAAUUGCAGAAUCCCGUGAACCAUCGAGUCUUUGAACGCAAGUUGCGCCUCAAGCCAUUAGGUUGAGGGCACGUCUGCCUGGGCGUCACAUAUCGUUGCCUGAUGCCAGUUUCCUCGUGAUGGGUGACUGUGCAGGGCGAAUGAUGGCUUCCCGUGAGCAUUGUUGCCUCAUGGUUGGUUGAAAAUUGAGUCCUUGGUAGGGAGCGCCGUGAUAGAUGGUGGUUGAGUGACGAACGAGACCCAAUCAUGUGAGACCCCUACCGAAUUUGGCCUUCAUGACCCACAUGCGUCUUUGGAACGCUCAUGACGAGACCUCAGGUCAGGCGGGGCUACCCGCUGAGUUUAAGCAUAUCAAUAAGCGGAGGA